This 67-nucleotide transfer RNA is filed under the name Marmota monax (woodchuck). Its description in RNAcentral is "tRNA.Ala". The stretch from base 5 to 63 matches the Rfam family "tRNA", at positions 7 to 64 of the family's 71-position model. Rfam says of the family: Transfer RNA (tRNA) molecules are approximately 80 nucleotides in length. Lineage: Eukaryota; Metazoa; Chordata; Mammalia; Rodentia; Sciuridae. The record is from RNAcentral.
GGUGGUGGCUCAGUGGUAGAGCGCUUGCCUAGCAUGUGUGAGGCACUGGGUUCAAUUCUCAGCACUG